Molecule: ribosomal RNA, 954 nt
Filed under: Beckius beccarii
Lineage: Eukaryota; Metazoa; Arthropoda; Insecta; Coleoptera; Scarabaeidae
Description: partial 16S ribosomal RNA
Source: RNAcentral
UCGAAUUAAAAAGAGCUAUAAUUAUAUAUAUUUAAUUGUUGUAUAAUUUUUUAUAAUAUAGUUAUGGAAAUGAAAUGUUAGUCGUGUUUUAAGAUAUCUAGUUUUUUAAGAAAUAAAUUUAAUUUAGUAUUUUUAAUGUAUAUUAUUAAUUUAAUAGUAAUAUAUUUAAAGUAUAUAAUAUUUUAAGGGAUAAGCUUUAAAAUAGAAUAUUAAAAAUUUAGUUGGUUUAGUUAAAAGGUUAGUAGGAUUGGAAAUGUUUAUCUUUAAUUUGUUAUAAUUAACUUUAGGUUAAAUAUGAUUUAUAUAGGUUUUAAUUUUUUUAUUAAAAAUAUUUAUUUAAUUAUAUUUUAUAUGGUAUAAUGAUAUAAUUAGUAUAGAUUUAUGUGUUUAUAAGUUAAUAAUUAAGGUUAGAUUAAGGAAUUCGGCAAAUUUAUUUUUCGCCUGUUUAUUAAAAACAUGUCUUUUUGAUUAUAAUUUAAAGUCUAACCUGCCCAAUGAGUAGUUAAAUGGCCGCGGUAUAUUGACCGUGCAAAGGUAGCAUAAUCAUUAGUUUUUUAAUUGAAAGCUGGAAUGAAUGGUUGGACGAGAAAAUAGCUGUCUCAAUUUAAUUUAAAAUAGAAUUUUAUUUAUAAGUAAAAAAGCUUAUAUAUAUUUAAAAGACGAGAAGACCCUAUAGAAUUUUAUAUAUUUGUAUAAAUAUUAUUUUUAGUAUUAUAUGUUAUAUUUAUAUACAUGUAUUUUGUUGGGGCGAUAGAAAAAUUGAAUUAACUUUUUUUUUAUUAAUUCAUUAAUUUAUGAGUAAUUGAUCCAUUUUUUAUGAUUAUAAGAUUAAAUUACCUUAGGGAUAACAGCGUUAUUUUUUUUUAGAGUUCUUAUCGAAAAAAGAGUUUGCGACCUCGAUGUUGGAUUAAAAUUAACUUUUGGUGUAGGGGCUAAAUAGUUAGGUCUGUUCGA